Molecule: ribosomal RNA, 477 nt
Filed under: uncultured organism
Description: partial 16S ribosomal RNA
Rfam family: Bacterial small subunit ribosomal RNA
Source: RNAcentral
GUACACUCCUACGGGAGGCAGCAGUGGGGAAUAUUGCACAAUGGGCGCAAGCCUGAUGCAGCCAUGCCGCGUGUAUGAAGAAGGCCUUCGGGUUGUAAAGUACUUUCAGCGGGGAGGAAGGCGAUAAGGUUAAUAACCUUGUUGAUUGACGUUACCCGCAGAAGAAGCACCGGCUAACUCCGUGCCAGCAGCCGCGGUAAUACGGAGGGUGCAAGCGUUAAUCGGAAUUACUGGGCGUAAAGCGCACGCAGGCGGUCUGUCAAGUCGGAUGUGAAAUCCCCGGGCUCAACCUGGGAACUGCAUUCGAAACUGGCAGGCUAGAGUCUUGUAGAGGGGGGUAGAAUUCCAGGUGUAGCGGUGAAAUGCGUAGAGAUCUGGAGGAAUACCGGUGGCGAAGGCGGCCCCCUGGACAAAGACUGACGCUCAGGUGCGAAAGCGUGGGGAGCAAACAGGAUUAGAAACCCCAGUAGUCCCAUG